Molecule: long non-coding RNA, 1631 nt
Organism: Hordeum vulgare subsp. vulgare (domesticated barley)
Lineage: Eukaryota; Viridiplantae; Streptophyta; Magnoliopsida; Poales; Poaceae
Exons: 2
Source: RefSeq, a predicted model, not a curated record
UGUUUUAGUAUGGUGUAUUUGUAAGGUACAAGCCAUUAAUAAUUAUUGGUAGUAACAUGUGUGUAUAUUUUAAACUUACCGAUGAUAAUAAUCUUUCAUAAAUAUGGGGGUGUGCAGAUAAUUUGUUCUUUCUUCACUUCAUUGACAACGGGGUAAUAAUCUUUAGUCAUAGUGUUACACAACUUAUCAACGGGAACAGAGACAGUUAUCAGAUAAUGUACACCAGCUUUAAUGGGAACAGAGACAGUUAUCAGAUGAUGUACACCAGCUUUAAUGUGAUAGAGGAUCAUGGUGGUCGAUGGAUUCUGCACCCUGUAGUAGACUAAGGAAGGAACAUUAUUUAUGUAACACAAUGAUACUCACAGCACCCCUGCACUAUGUGAGAUUUAGAAGUUAUUCAAAUUAGUGUUUGUUGAUAACUGCAAAUUCCGUUUGUCUGCUUCGUAUUUUUCUAUCCCUGCUAAGGUACUAAUCCGUUCUUUGAUGAGCUGUUGAUACUGUCGGCGGAUGCAUCUAUGUGCUAAUUUGCUGGCACCAAGCAGACAUAGCCAAACGAGCUGCGGGCACCAAUCAUUUGGUAGUGGACAACAACACCAGGGGUUGCACUGGUGCACAGCUUGUUCAGUGAUACCAACCCUUCGAGCGCCCUCAACCAUUAGCCAACACUUCUUCAGUUUCUCACCACAUGUGAGUCCUCUUUGCACCAGCAUUAUUGUUAAUCAAUGUAUGUGCUGGUAAUCAAAGUUUAGAUACAUGCUACUAAUGCUAGCACACUCCCCAUGUGGACAGAGCGGCGGCCGAAUGAUAUAUUAAAAAAAACUGAUUUGGCAGAAUAGACAAAACUUAUUAUGGACAAAUAAAGAUGCAUAAUUUUCCUAAUAUGUUUAUUACCGUCGUUCCAUGCAUCGUUCAGGGUAAAAAAGCCCAGAUCAUGAGUUUUUCCUUGCAUACUUAUCCAUGCCUGAUGGCACUACACCGCAUUAGCGUUCUUUAAGUUUGUCCUUGUAUUAUUUCUUAUUUAGGGUAAAAAGGUCCGGAAAAAAAUAAAUGAUGAAUUAUAGUGUAGUCAUUCUUGUAGUCAAAGAUUAUGUUUAAAAUGAUCAUCACUUGAGAUGCUGCCAGCUUGCAGGGUCGAUGAGACAUUAAAUUGUCAUAUUGCUUUUCCCUCUUAUUCACAUGCUAUGAAAUUUCUUGCGAGUUGUACCAUUAUUUUUAGUACUGAUUAAUUCCCAUGAAUACCAAUGGUGAAAUAUUCAGUCCUAAGUAUUUAAUGAGAUCCGUAUCGCUGGCAAUCUUCAUGAACCUAUCAAGGAGAACAUUGCAAUACUAAUUGUUGCACAAGUGUUCUCAUCGUCGGCUAGCAAGAAGAGAGUAUGAUUGUUCAAUGCUCACCCUUGUAAGCUUGAUUUACGAGGAGCUUCUCGGUGUUGUACAUGUAAGGUGUGGAAAAUAUAAAUAGAAUCUCUUUAUUCAUUCUUGUACUGUACCUCCAAUUCAUCUCCCACGGUUCAGUAAAUUUCAAUUGUAUGCUUAAAUAUUAGGAAGCCAUCAUCUUCAAAAACAUACUGCUACCUACUUAAAACAUAUUUUCUUUCUUUGUGUUUCCGAUAAAUUGUUUGAAAAAACACGCA